Struthio camelus australis is the source of this 1553-nucleotide long non-coding RNA. Lineage: Eukaryota; Metazoa; Chordata; Aves; Struthioniformes; Struthionidae. The record is from Ensembl.
GAAAGCUUGGUUCAUUUGUUUUAAAGCUCAUAGAGCAACUUUUGAGGAAAGAGAGAGGAGUUUUAAUACAUGUAAGUCAGGACUCUUAAGUAGCUAUGAUUCCACAGACUUGGACUCUCAGAAAAAAUGACAUGAAAAAGUUUUAGGAGUGGACGACGCUGAACAGUACUGCAAACUAUUUGCGGCAAGAACUAGUUUUUAUUUUAUGCAUCUUAGCACGAUGUAGAUUCCACUUGCUUAAGCCUUUUACGUGCAACUGUGAUUAAUAAUUUUAUUUUGUAUCAGAAUACAAACAGUAAUAACAGGAAGGGACAAGUAGCUCUUCUCCACUCUCAUGUUAUGAUUGCCUAAAAUCUUUGGAAACACACAGGAAGCAGCAGGUUAUGUGGCUGUAUUUGCAGCUGAGGCUCUGGCAGGAAGCAUAAAAGGCACACGGCUCCGUUAUUCUGCUUGUGUGAGUGGCGUUCCCUGGAAAAAAUAAACAGGCUCUGCCGUCUGCAGUUUGCAAAGAGCAGCCGAGGAUAGCAAAACAAACUUCCAAGGUGGCCAGCCAGGACCGGCCAAAGGGGCUGGAGGGGAGGAAACACUUAGUAAAAUCUUUGCAGAACUUGCAGAAAUGUCAAGGUGACAGCGUUCCUUUUAUUGACGAACACUGUUACCUUCAGCUGCUUCCUCUUUGCGAACAGGGCUCCAGGCAGGGCUUUUCUUUCUCUUCCAGUGAUGACGACUUCUGCAUUUUCAUUGGUCUGCUUGCGUCUGCCUUCCUUUCCUGUGGAAAUAGAAGAUAUGGGCAGGAGAAAAGACAUAUUUGUGAGGCUUAAUCAAUUUUCUGUGAGAUGGAAGCUGAAUGCAGUGGUGAACAGAAGCUGGUAUGUGUUUUUGAAGCUGAAUGCAGAAUUGCAAGCUUUUUUUUUCCCCUACAGUUUUCUCAAAUCAUAUUUCAUUGCUCGUGGAUUCUUAUUAGUAGAUUCUCAGUUAAUAUCCUCAGUCUCCUCCAACAUUUAGGAAGCUUGAACGUGUCCUAUGUCCUGUUGCCAUAAGCUGCAUUUAGUCUGAUGAGUGACUCUAUUACAAUAUAAAAACUUAAAGGAGUGGUUAGCAUGCAGACAUUUUGCAUUCGUAUUUAAUAAUGUUGUUUAUAAUACUGAAAUAAUAGCUGUUUCCACAGUUUUGAAUGCCAAAAGUGGUUAUUCAGAUAUCUAAUCUAACCUCCUAUAUAAUGCAGCCUAUAGAACUGGGUUGUUUGGCUAACAAACAGUGGACUUUUACAGCACAAUCAAUUAACUGUCUGCAGCUGCGAAGUUACAUAAAACAGCUUUUCUCCUUCCUCCUCCAGUGGACUGAGGAAGAAACUGUAGUCUAGAAGUUGCUUUGUAAGAAUACUGUUUAGAGUAUGAGUAGAACAGACAGAAAUACGAGAAAAGCUCUGAGACUGCCAAAAAUCUCAUUUUUUGGAAGAGCAGCCCUAGGGCUUUUAGAAAUGCUAUUUAAAUGAGAUAAUUUCUGUCUCACUAGAAAAUAAAUAUUCCCUGACAUUAAAAAUAUUUGCGGAC